AAGUCGUAACAAGGUUUCCGUAGGUGAACCUGCGGAAGGAUCAUUACAGUAGUCACCCAGGUUGCCGCAAGGCCUCCUGGGUAACCUACCACCCUUUGUUUAUUACACUUUGUUGCUUUGGCAAGCCUGCCCUCGGGCUGCUGGCUCCGGCCGGCGAGCGCUUGCCAGAGGACCUAAACUCUGUUUGUCUAUACUGUCUGAGUACUAUAUAAUAGUUAAAACUUUCAACAACGGAUCUCUUGGUUCUGGCAUCGAUGAAGAGCGCAGCGAAAUGCGAUAAGUAAUGUGAAUUGCAGAAUUCAGUGAAUCAUCGAAUCUUUGAACGCACAUUGCGCCCCCUGGUAUUCCGGGGGGCAUGCCUGUCCGAGCGUCAUUACAACCCUCAAGCUCAGCUUGGUAUUGGGCCCCGCCGACCCGGCGGGCCCUAAAGUCAGUGGCGGUGCCGUCCGGCUCCGAGCGUAGUAAUUCUUCUCGCUCUGGAGGUCCGGUCGUGUGCUCGCCAGCAACCCCCAAUUUUUUUCAGGUUGACCUCGGAUCAGGUAGGGAUACCCGCUGAACUUAA
Molecule: ribosomal RNA, 562 nt
Filed under: Leotiomycetes sp. L-10
Lineage: Eukaryota; Fungi; Ascomycota; Leotiomycetes
Also listed under: 1 other name
Description: eukaryotic LSU rRNA
Rfam family: 5.8S ribosomal RNA (bases 220-373)
Source: RNAcentral